ACGGUCCUAAGGUAGCGAAAUUCCUUGUCGGGUAAGUUCCGACCCGCACGAAAGGUGUAACGAUUUGGGCACUGUCUCAACGAGGGACCCGGUGAAAUUGAAAUACCUGUGAAGAUGCAGGUUACCCGCGACUGGACAGAAAGACCCCAUGGAGCUUUACUGUAACCUGACAUUGGGUUUUGUUGUAUUACGUACAGGAUAGGUGGGAGGCUUAGAAGGCUGGACGCUAGUCUGGCUGGAGCCGGCGUUGGGAUACCACCCUUGAUACAACGGAAUUCUAACCGAGAGAGUAACGAAAUCCGGGACAGUGUCAGGCGGGCAGUUUGACUGGGGCGGUCGCCUCCGAAAGAGUAACGGAGGCGCCCAAAGGUUCCCUCAGCGCGGCCGGAAAUCGCGCGAAGAGUGUAAAGGCAGAAGGGAGCUUGACUGCGAGCCAAACACGGCGAGCAGGUACGAAAGUAGGGCUUAGUGAUCCGGUGGUACCGAGUGGAAGGGCCAUCGCUCAACGGAUAAAAGCUACCCUGGGGAUAACAGGCUAAUCUCUCCCAAGAGUCCAUAUCGACGGGGAGGUUUGGCACCUCGAUGUCGGCUCAUCACAUCCUGGGGCUGAAGUCGGUCCCAAGGGUUGGGCUGUUCGCCCAUUAAAGUGGUACGCGAGCUGGGUUCAGAACGUCGUGAGACAGUUCGGUCCCUAUCCAUCGCGGGCGCAAGAGAUUUGAAGGGGUCUGCUCCUAGUACGAGAGGACCGGAGUGGACGGACCGCUGGUGUACCAGUUAUUCCGCCAGGAGUACAGCUGGGUAGCUACGUCCGGACUGGAUAAACGCUGAAAGCAUCUAAGCGUGAAGCCAUCCUUAAGAUGAGAUCUCUCACAGAGUAAUCUGGUAAGACACCUUAAAGAAGAUGAGGUAGAUAGGCCGGGAGUGUAAGUGCAGCAAUGUAUUGAGCUGACCGGUACUAAUAUGUCGAGGGCUUGACUUC
Molecule: ribosomal RNA, 979 nt
Filed under: human gut metagenome
Description: bacterial LSU rRNA
Rfam family: Bacterial large subunit ribosomal RNA
Source: RNAcentral